This 210-nucleotide unclassified non-coding RNA is filed under the name Hevea brasiliensis (rubber tree). The record is from RNAcentral. Lineage: Eukaryota; Viridiplantae; Streptophyta; Magnoliopsida; Malpighiales; Euphorbiaceae.
GUUAUUUCCUCUCUCUCUCUCUCUUCUUUAAAACCACUGUCAACCGAUCUCUUCUUCUAUCAGCUACUCCAAUACACACCACCACCUUCAAGCUCACAGUGUUCUUGGCUUUUGGGUUUUGAGAGAGAGAGAGAGAGCAUGGCUAAGGAGGUGAGUGAAGAAACGCAGCCUACCCAUGGGAAGGACUAUGUUGAUCCACCACCAGCUCCU